AGUGAACGCUGGCGGUAGGCCUAACACAUGCAAGUCGAACGGCAGCACAGUAAGAGCUUGCUCUUACGGGUGGCGAGUGGCGGACGGGUGAGGAAUACAUCGGAAUCUACUUUUUCGUGGGGGAUAACGUAGGGAAACUUACGCUAAUACCGCAUACGACCUACGGGUGAAAGCAGGGGAUCUUCGGACCUUGCGCGAUUGAAUGAGCCGAUGUCGGAUUAGCUAGUUGGCGGGGUAAAGGCCCACCAAGGCGACGGUCCGUAGCUGGUCUGAGAGGAUGAUCAGCCACACUGGAACUGAGACACGGUCCAGACUCCUACGGGAGGCAGCAGUGGGGAAUAUUGGACAAUGGGCGCAAGCCUGAUCCAGCCACACCGCGUGGGUGAAGAAGGCCUUCGGGUUGUAAAGCCCUUUUGUUGGGAAAGAAAAGCAGCAGGUUAAUACCCCGCUGUUCUGACGGUACCCAAAGAAUAAGCACCGGCUAACUUCGUG
RNAcentral lists this ribosomal RNA (492 nucleotides) under uncultured bacterium. RNAcentral's name for it is "partial 16S ribosomal RNA". It matches the Rfam family "Bacterial small subunit ribosomal RNA", at positions 29 to 507 of the family's 1533-position model. The record is from RNAcentral.